This 325-nucleotide ribosomal RNA is filed under the name Colletotrichum acutatum. RNAcentral's name for it is "partial large subunit ribosomal RNA". It matches the Rfam family "Eukaryotic large subunit ribosomal RNA", at positions 387 to 732 of the family's 3401-position model. Lineage: Eukaryota; Fungi; Ascomycota; Sordariomycetes; Glomerellales; Glomerellaceae. The record is from RNAcentral.
GUUAAACAGCACGUGAAAUUGUUAAAAGGGAAGCGCUUGUGACCAGACUUGCGUCCGGUGAAUCACCCAGCUCUCGCGGCUGGGGCACUUCGCCGGCUCAGGCCAGCAUCAGCUCGCUGUCGGGGACAAAAGCUUCAGGAACGUAGCUCUCUUCGGGGAGUGUUAUAGCCUGCUGCAUAAUACCCUUCGGCGGGCUGAGGUACGCGCUCCGCAAGGAUGCUGGCAUAAUGGUCAUCAGCGACCCGUCUUGAAACACGGACGAAGGAGUCAACCUUAUGUGCGAGUGUUCGGGUGUCAAACCCCUACGCGUAAUGAAAGUGAACGC